Long non-coding RNA from Tyto alba (common barn owl), 1229 nucleotides. RefSeq lists it as uncharacterized. The record is from RefSeq and is a predicted model, not a curated record. NCBI's taxonomy places the organism in Eukaryota, Metazoa, Chordata, Aves, Strigiformes, Tytonidae. The transcript is spliced from 6 exons.
CGCGGCCGCCAGCCCGGGGACGCCCGCAGGCCCCAGGACGCCGCAGCGGGGAGAAGAGGCUGUGGCCGCCGAGGGGAGCCUCCGCCGGCAUCUUUCGGGGCGGACAUUUUCUACCCACCCCCACCCUGCCCGCCUCCGGCCAACAGUCCCGCACCUGCUGGCGCCACGCAGCGCUCUGAGGCGGGGGUCUGUCCGCUCCCGCCCGACCCGGGAGGCGGCUGGGCCGGGGGCUGUGAAGUGGCGGGGGGUGGCGGUGCGCUGAGGCGAGGCCGGGGCCGGUGUCCUGAGGUGUGAGCUGGGCAGUACAGGCUGUGAGUAGCAUUUAACAAUUGGAAGAAGCCCAACAUGCGGCAUGAGAAGGCUGUUGAGGCACCUAUGUUCCUGUGAGCAUGGAUGAACUGUUCCAUCCUGUAGGACUUUGUGACCUUGCAACAGCGGAUACAGAGAUUGGAUUUAGAGCAUUCCAUGAAACCAAUUCCAGCUGAUGCAUGCUACAGACUUACCAGGAUCCUCAUCAUUUUGUUUUUGAGGAAGAAACAAGGCCCAUCUACAGCACCUCAAAGCUCCAGCGUGACAAGUGAAGAGCGUGACAAGUAAACAGAGAAAAAAGAUAAUCCCUGCCUCGGGGUUUGUGAUCUUCACAGGACUUUUCAGGCUGAAGUGAACACACUUCUCCACACUCUGCCCCUUUGAGAUCCAAGCUAGCUCUGAGCUGGAAGGGAGCAGCAUCAUUAACUCAAGUCAGUAAAUCCUGCUGAAAGGCAGCGUGUGCUCCUGCAGCAACAGCCCGGACAGUACAUCUACCUGCAGCCUUCUCACUACACCUUUCAGAUGGGCUCAUGGCUCUCUGUGAGAGACAAUGUAGGCAUACCCUCGGUAUGAAAUGUGAGCCUGUGACAACUAUAUAAAGACAGUUAAUAAAAAAGGAAAGAAUGGAAAAUAAGUGAGCCUUGAUAGCCAAGCUACUAUCCAGUUUCUGUAGGCGCUACAGUCACAGUCCCCUCCAGUUAUGAAGCCACAACAGAAAUUUCCAAAUCUAAUUUUUAGUUUCCCUAACUUCUCUGCCUGCGACCUGUGAAGAAGUGAAAGACAGGACCUGAUCUGCAACAUGCUGUGGGCAGUAUCAUUUGACUCUUCCAUGACACUGACACCAAUAAAAGGACCGGGCACUGAUACCACUGUCUUAUUACUACUAAGCCUUUUGGACAAGGGAUCAGAAGACUUCAAGA